RNAcentral lists this transfer RNA (67 nucleotides) under human gut metagenome. It matches the Rfam family "tRNA". From Rfam's summary of the family: Transfer RNA (tRNA) molecules are approximately 80 nucleotides in length. The record is from RNAcentral.
UUGGUAGCUCAGCUGGAUAGAGCAACAGAUUUCUAAUCUGUGGGUCAAGGGUUCGAAUCCCUUCCGA